Long non-coding RNA from Manihot esculenta (cassava), 2050 nucleotides. RefSeq lists it as uncharacterized. The transcript is spliced from 2 exons. The record is from RefSeq and is a predicted model, not a curated record. NCBI's taxonomy places the organism in Eukaryota, Viridiplantae, Streptophyta, Magnoliopsida, Malpighiales, Euphorbiaceae.
CUCCAUCAAGCCGCCGCUCCCUUUCUGCCAGAGAACGCCACUGCCUCUCGCUGCUCAAGAAACGUGAUCAUAGUGCAUGACAGACGCCGCUCUAGAAACGUUGAUCAAGAAACACGGAUACGACAGGCGUCGCUGGUUCAUCCCGCGAUAGCUCAUCCCGUUGAUCUGCAGCUCGCCUCCCUCUAGAGUCGUGCUCUGCUGCACAUCCCGAUCUAAACAUAUUUCUGCAGCUCGCCUCUCUCUAGUCUAGAGGUUGCAGAGAUGGCGUCAAUGGCUCCGGAAAGAAAACGAGAAUCGUCUGAUCCACAUUAUCAAAGAGGAGCACCAGUUGUUGAAGGUGCCUGUUUGCAUGCCCGUGCAUACUUCAACUUCAACUCCUAUUGCAACUGGAGUUAAGGUGCCUUCUACCCCUGCUCUGAAUUAUGUGACGCUUGGAUCUUUCAGUUGGGAUCAGGAUAAUGACAAAGUCAAGGUAAUUAAUUUUACUAACAAGCAAAGAAUUUGUUGUAGGAUAUUCUGAAUUUCUGGCAUAAUCAUUUUAUCUUCUUUGGUUCUCUUCAUUCUUUGAAGAUUUUUGUCAUCCUUAUCAUCGUUCUUAUCAUUAUUCGAAGAUUUGGUGUAAGAAUGAUCUUUAUCAUUCUUACUCUUUGAAGAUAUGCAAGUUAUCUGCUAAUUCAUGACGUAAAAGUUAUUUUUAGCUAUGAGUUGAUGGGACUACACACAUCACUAUGCUGUACUGAAUUCUGAUUAAUGUAACUUCUACUUUUGUUUAUAUGAUAUUGCUGGAUAUGCCUGUUGAUUUCUUGCAUUGCCAUGGUACUUAAUUGAGGAUAGGAUUACAUGUCUACAUUUUUCUUUCUUCUGACUUUAAAUGCUUGGUAUCUUGUAGUUCAAUUCAUUUUACCUAUUAGUUCUGCAGUUCUCUAUUAAGGUUUGGUAGGUACAUUUAUAUGUGCUGAGCAAAAGGGGCAUGUCAUAAUAUAGAUGCAAAUGUUGGUGGUUGUCUUGUUUGAUUUGAAAUUUGCAUAAUUUGUCUGCAGUUGAGUUAUUACAUUAAAUUACUUAGUUCCGGAGUGCUAGAUGAUGAAAAGUUAGGAAUUGGAAGGAAAUGUUAAUCAGAAGCUUUUGGAUGUGAGUUAAUAGAGAAACUGAAGCUGAGGAACUUGAAUAGAUAAAUAUAAAAUAUCCAACAGAGUUUUGACCUUGUUAUUACUGCCAAUAGUUGAAGAUAAGCAUAAAUGGAAGACACAGAUGAUGUAAUAGGUUUUAUUGCUUGAAUCAUGGAUUUGUGUGAACAAUGGAUCUUCUCCACUUUGGUGAGAGUUUUUAGGUGGCAGGGUCAUUCCUAAAUCAUGUAUGUGGAGUUUUAAUGAAUUUGUGUUGGUUGUGAAUAACUUACAGAAUAUGUAUGAAGAAGGGGAUGGUGAAAUAAAAUGAACCAUUGCACAAGCAUGGGUCUGAUGCAAGAUCAGGCACAGCAGUUGAUCCAUUGCGGGGCUAUCGCUAACCAAAUUGGAAUUCAUUUAAAAGUUGGGAUAUCAUUUUGGUACAUGUUAAUGUUUCCAUGGUUUUUGUUUUAUGUCUUAGUUCAAUAUUUUGGUAUGAUUAUGCAGAAGAUUAGCCAGCUCUUGCUUCAAGUCUUAGUUCAAUUCAUUUUAUUCUCGCUUUAUUUUCAUUUGUUUUAAUCGAAGUAUUUUUGAGGGUUAAGUUUCCCUAUAAUUUCAUCAGUAGGUCCAAAUGCUGCUCUGCUAUCAUCCACUACCCUCUGAAGGCUGAAACAUGUGCUGAGCAUGAUCCAAAUAGCAUAUAUCUUUUUGAUUCAGGAGAUCCGGUUCUCUAUUCAGUGGCCACAAAUAUGUUUAUGCUAGAACUGUGAAAAUUUUACUUUGUUGGCAUUGCAAUUAGCUAAGGAAGGUGGUUUGAUUGUGUAGAAUUUUGUUGCUAUUUUAGAACGUGUGAUUUGCAGGUUCCAAUCUCAUUUUUAGUUGGCUUAAGUGUUUGCAUAGGUUCCUAUAUUGCUACUGAUUUUAAUAUAUAUUCUUUUUCAUUU